AUGUAUACUCUGGAAUUGCUGCUCGAGUUCUUGAUAUUAUGAAGAGAGAUGCAGAUAAAGAUCCUGCAACUGAUCCAAAUGUGAUGCGUGCCAGGCUGUUAAUCAACCAGGUGGACAGAAAGUUGGUCAAGCAAACAGUGAUGACAUCAGUGUACGGUGUCACGUAUAUUGGUGCUCGUGACCAAAUUAAGAGAAGAUUGAAGGAGCGUGGUGCCAUUGAAGAUGAUAAUGAGUUGUUUGCAGCAGCGUGUUAUGCGGCAAAAACCACCUUGACUGCCUUAGGAGAGAUGUUUGAAGCAGCCAGAAGUAUCAUGAGUUGGCUUGGAGAUUGUGCAAAGAUUAUAGCCAUGGAAAACCAGCCUGUACGAUGG
This 371-nucleotide unclassified non-coding RNA is filed under the name Hevea brasiliensis (rubber tree). The record is from RNAcentral. Lineage: Eukaryota; Viridiplantae; Streptophyta; Magnoliopsida; Malpighiales; Euphorbiaceae.